Molecule: ribosomal RNA, 529 nt
Filed under: uncultured bacterium
Lineage: Bacteria
Description: bacterial SSU rRNA
Rfam family: Bacterial small subunit ribosomal RNA
Source: RNAcentral
AAUAGAUACCCCGGUAGUCCACGCCGUAAACGAUGAGCACUAGUUAUUGGGGGUAUUGACUCCCUCAGUGACGCAGCUAACGCAUUAAGUGCUCCGCCUGGGGAGUACGGUCGCAAGACUAAAACUCAAACAAAUUGACGGGGGCCCGCACAAGCGGUGGAUUAUGUGGUUUAAUUCGAAGCAACGCGCAGAACCUUACCUAGGCUUGAACUCCUCAGAACCCGGCGUAAUGGCCGGGGUGCCCGCAAGGGAAUUGAGUGAGAGGUGCUGCAUGGCUGUCGUCAGCUCGUGUUGUGAAAUGUUGGGUUAAGUCUCGCAACGAGCGCAACCCCUAUCGUCUGUUGCCAGCAUUAAGUUGGGCACUCUGACGAGACUGCCUGGGUUAACCAGGAGGAAGGUAGGGAUGACGUCAAGUCCUCAUGGCCCUUAUGUCUAGGGCUACACACGUAAUACAAUGGCGCGUACAGAGGGAAGCGAACUCGCAAGGGGGAGCAAAUCUCAAAAAGCGCGCCUCAGUUCGGAUUGGAGU